GACGAACGCUGGCGGCGUGCCUAAUACAUGCAAGUAGAACGCACGGUUUAUACCGUAGCUUGCUACACCAUAGACUGUGAGUUGCGAACGGGUGAGUAACGCGUAGGUAACCUGCCUGGUAGCGGGGGAUAACUAUUGGAAACGAUAGCUAAUACCGCAUAAUAUUGAUUAUUGCAUGAUAAUUGAUUGAAAGAUGCUAUUGCAUCACUACCAGAUGGACCUGCGUUGUAUUAGCUAGUAGGUGAGGUAACGGCUCACCUAGGCGACGAUACAUAGCCGACCUGAGAGGGUGAUCGGCCACACUGGGACUGAGACACGGCCCAGACUCCUACGGGAGGCAGCAGUAGGGAAUCUUCGGCAAUGGACGAAAGUCUGACCGAGCAACGCCGCGGGAGUGAAGAAGGUUUUCGGAUCGUAAAGCUCUGUUGUAAGAGAAGAACGGGUGUGAGAGUGGAAAGUUCACACUGUGACGGUAGCUUACCAGAAAGGGACGGCUAACUACGUG
Molecule: ribosomal RNA, 505 nt
Filed under: uncultured bacterium
Lineage: Bacteria
Description: partial 16S ribosomal RNA
Rfam family: Bacterial small subunit ribosomal RNA
Source: RNAcentral